RNAcentral lists this transfer RNA (4419 nucleotides) under Meleagris gallopavo (turkey). Its description in RNAcentral is "lncRNA (ENSMGAG00000021641.1)". The record is from RNAcentral. Lineage: Eukaryota; Metazoa; Chordata; Aves; Galliformes; Phasianidae.
AUGGGGGGCAUCUGGGGGAGCCCAGAGACCCCAUUGGGUGUUGCUCCCAUUUGGGGUGGGGGUACCGCUCCUUUGGCCAAUCGUAGGGCUCCUCAUUUGCAUGCUAAUUUGCAUAAAAGGGGAGUGGGCGGAGAAUUCCAUUGGAUUUUGGGGGUCCAGGCAACGCAGCUGAGCCAUGGUAUCUGCGGGGGGAAGGAAAAAAGACCCCAAAAGGGAAAGAGACCCCAGCCAAAGCGGGGACCCCAGAAAAGAAGGCGUCAGAAGACUGCAAGCAGGAGACCCCCAGCCAAGAGGGUGAAGUUUAACGGGAAAACAAAACCCAAACCCAAACGACAGCAGAAGAAAAGGAGGGUGGAGAGGGAAGCGGAGAGGCUGAGGAAGGAGAGCCAACGUCCCAUGGUGGGACCCGCACACGUGCGUGCUGCCCUGCACCACAUCAUGCCCAAGGACUGGAAGCGUGCGGACGGAGGGCGGUGAUGGCCAGCCCCAUCCCUCCCCAAACCCAACCGGGGGGGGCAGAAGAGGGGUGAGAUGACCCAAAUCCCAAAGGGAGAGGGGAUAAAACCCCGAAAGAAUGCAAAGAAACCGACGCAGCCGUUGGAUACCCCCAGUGGGGGUCAGGCAAGCGUGCAAAAUAACACCACGGCAUUGCAAUAAAUGCAAACCCUGCAGCAUUUUGCAGCGUCGAUGCCUUUCUCUUCAUUAAUUAUUUUGCUUUGGCUCGGAUUUAAUCAGCUGCAAGUCGAGGGUGUUUUGCGAUGGGGGAAAUAAAGGCUUUCCAUGCCCUACUGGAGAGGUGGGGUUGUGUUCAUAUUUAGGUUUGCUGGAAGGGGUGGGAGGUGGCACUGGAACGACUCACCCAUCCAAAUUAAAUAUGUGCCUUCAGGGCUGGAUCUGCUUCCAGAAAAAAAAAUAGAAAAAUGAUUUGGGGUGGAGUUUAGAAAACAACUUUCCCUGACCGGGAAUCGAACCCGGGCCGCGGCGGUGAGAGCGCCGAAUCCUAACCACUAGACCACCAGGGAGGGGGUGUGGGGGUACUGCUGGGGGGGGAGGUCCCACUGGUGACCCCAUUGUGGGGACUCACCCAUGGGUGGGGGGUUCUGUGCCACCCAUUUGGGGUCAGUUGGUCCCUGCUGUGCCCUUCAUGCCCCGCUCGUGUUUUUUGCACGGGUGGGUGAGCUUUGCAGAGGGGUUGUGUGCACGUGUGGGGUCUGUGGGGGUCUGUGGGGUCUGUGGGGUCUGUGGGUAGUAGGGCAGCAAAGCGUAGGGUGGCUGGUAAAAAGGGAAAAUUUCCCAAAUUUGGGUGGGGGGAAAAAAGAAGCUGUGUCAGAAGUGGGAUUUGAACCCACGCCUCCAUACGGAGACCAGAAAUCCCAUUGGGAAGGCUCAGCCUUGAGUCUGGCGCCUUAGACCACUCGGCCAUCCUGACACCCUGCAGCCUUCCUCCCCCUCCUCAUCCUCGUUCCUUAACCCGGGGUGGGCUUUAGGGGUCCCAAUUCUCUGUUUUUUGGGCCCAAAUCCUGGUGGAAAUUCCGAUGAGGAAAGCUGACAUCACAACGACUUCGGGACAGCCGACCAAUCAUGAUGCCUCAUCGGAACGCGGCCCCAUAGAGCCCCAUAGGACUUCUGGGGGGACCCCAAGCCGGGGAGGAGGACGGGGGGGACCCCAUGGCCACACCCAGCGAGAGGCAAAGCCAACAGCAGAGGAAGACGAGGAGGAGAAGGCAGAAAUUCCACCGCGUCCAAUGGAGGUGUCUGUCCCGAAGGCAGCGAUGGAAGCGAUCCCAAAAGGCAUCCAGCAACGGGAUGAGGACAGAACCCCAUAGGAGGAACUUGUCCCAUCAAUCCGAGCUGCUGACGCCCGCAUCCCGACGGAUGUCCAUCACGGCCAGGAAGAUGAUGUGCUCCUUCAUUACCUCCUUCUCCAGGGGGUUGGUCAGCGAUGCAGAUCAGCGCCGGCGGGAGCGACGGGGGUCCUUCAUUGGGACCUUGGAACUCAGGGCGGCGGUGGAUGCGGCGAUGGAGGGCGGAGCGGGGCUCCCCUCUUCCUCCUCCUCCUCCUUUUCCUCCUCUUCCUCCUUUUCCUCCUCCUCCUCCUCCUACACUUCUUCCUCCUCCUUCUCUUCGGGGAGCUGAAGAUGGAGAGCGUGUCGCCAUGGGGAGAAAUAUCCUGCCAUAGAGAGAAACGAGAGGGGAAGGGGGAAAUAAAUUCAGAGUCCUUUCUGCCCUAUGGAGCUCCUGUGUCCAUUCUGCGGGGUGGGGGAGCAUCAAAUCCAGUGCCCCGUGGGGACGUGUGGGGGGAAGAGAACCUGCAGGACGCUGCAUGUGUGGAGGUAUGGAGAACCCCAAAAUGUCACAAGAGUUGAGGUUAUAGGGGAACCCAAACUUUGAGAUAUAGGGAACCCCAAGCGUUGAGGUUGUAGGGGAACCCAAACGUUGAGACAUAGGGAACCCCAAGCAUUGAGGUUGUAGGGGAACCCAAGGAUUAAGGGAUAGAGAAUCCCAAACAUUCAGAUAUAGGGAACCCCAAGCGUUGAGGUUGUAGGGGAACCCAAACAUUGAGAUAUAGGGAACCCCAAGCGUUGAGGUUGUAGGGGAACCCAAGGAUUAAGGAAUAGAGAAUCCCAAACAUUCAGAUAUAGGGAACCCCAAGCAUUGAGGUUGUAGGGGAACCCAAAUGUUGAGAUAUAGGGAACCCCAAGUGUUGAGGUUGUAGGGGAACCCAAACGUUGAGACAUAGGGAACCCCAAGCGUUGUAGGGGAACCCAAGGAUUAAGGGAUAGAGAAUCCCAAACAUUCAGAUAUAGGGAACCCCAAGUGUUGAGGUUGUAGGGGAACCCAAACGUUGAGAUAUAGGGAAUCCCAAGCGUUGAGGUUGUAGGGGAACCCAAACAUUCAGAUAUAGGGAACCCCAAGUGUUGAGGUUGUAGGGGAACCCAAACGUUGAGACAUAGGGAACCCCAAGCAUUGAGGUUGUUGGGGAACCCAAGGAUUAAGGGAUAGAGAAUCCCAAACAUUCAGAUAUAGGGAACCCCAAGUGAGGAGGUUUUAGGGGAACUCAAGGAUUAAGGGAUAGAGAAACCCAAACAUUCAGAUAUAGGGAACCCCAAGCGUUGAGGUUGUAGGGGAACCCAAACUUUGAGACAUAGGGAACCCCAAGCGUUGAGGUUGUAGGGGAACCCAAACGUUGAGAUUUAGGGAACCCCAAGUGUUGAGGUUGUAGGGGAACCCAAACGUUGAGAUAUAGGGAACCCCAAGCGUUGAGGUUGUAGGGGAUCCCAAACGUUGAGAUAUAGGGAACCCCAAGUGUUGAGGUUGUAGGGGAACCAAAGGAUUAAGGGAGAGAGAAUCCCAAACAUUCAGAUAUAGGGAACUCCAAGUGUUGAGGUUAUAGGGGAACCCAAACUUUGAGACAUAGGGAACCCCAAGCAUUGAGGUUGUAGGGGAACCCAAGGAUUAAGGGAGAGAGAAUCCCAAACAUUCAGAUAUAGGGAACCCCAAGUGUUGAGGUUGUAGGGGAACCCAAGAGCUAAGGGACAGAAAAACCCAAACAUUGAGGUCAUAGGGAAUCCCAAAUAUUGAGGUUAUCAGGGAACUCAAGGAUUGAGGGAUAGAGAAACCCAAAUAUUGAGAUGUAGGGAACCCCAAUUGUGGAGGUAUGGGGAACCCUAAACAUUGAAGUUACAGAGAACCCCAAAAUGUGAUGUAUGGGGAAACCCCAAGUGUUGAAGUAUAGGGAACCCAAAAGUUAAGGGAUAGAGAAACCCAAAUAUUCAGUUAUGGGGAACCCCAAGUGUUGAGGUAUGGAGAACCCCCAAAUGUGAUGUAUGGGGAAACCCCAAGUGUUGACAUAUAGGGGACCCCAAACAUUGAGGUUAUAGGGACGCCUAGCGUUGAGGUAUGGGAAACCCCAAGGGUUCAGCUAUAGGGUGGGUGUCUCAGGGCUCAAGAAGCCUCAGGUGUUUUUUCCAGCUGCUUUUGGGGUAAUUUAAGGGUUGUGCACUUGAGCUGCUGGGAUGGUCCCUUAUAGGGUGCAGAGUUUUGCUGCAGUGAAAUGGGAUCAUGGGGAGGUGAGCUUGUAGGGGCUGCGGUGCUCCUGGGGGGAGGUGAGGGCAAACUCCAGUCCUCAUGUAUUUCCUCAGUAAUGGGGUCCCAUUUCUCAGGUGGGAACCCCAAAUAACCCCAAAUCCCAAUGCAUUCCCCCUCUUUCCCCAUAGAUAACGCCAAAUCCCUCCACGUUCCCUUUCUUUCCCUAUGGAUAACCCCAAAUCUCCCUCUUUCCCUAUGGAGAACCCCAAAUCCCACCAGGUUCCCCCCUCUUUCCCUAUGGAUAACCCCAAAUCCCACCAGGUUCCCACUCUUUCCCCAUGGAAAACCCCAAAUCCUCCCUCUUUCCCUAUGGAAAACCCCAAAUCCACC